This 1343-nucleotide ribosomal RNA is filed under the name uncultured bacterium. Its description in RNAcentral is "16S ribosomal RNA". It matches the Rfam family "Bacterial small subunit ribosomal RNA", at positions 28 to 1378 of the family's 1533-position model. The record is from RNAcentral.
GACGAACGCUGGCGGCGUGCUUAACACAUGCAAGUCGAACGGAAAGGCCCUGCUUUUGUGGGGUGCUCGAGUGGCGAACGGGUGAGUAACACGUGAGUAACCUGCCCUUGACUUUGGGAUAACUUCAGGAAACUGGGGCUAAUACCGGAUAGGAGCUCCUGCUGCAUGGUGGGGGUUGGAAAGUUUCGGCGGUUGGGGAUGGACUCGCGGCUUAUCAGCUUGUUGGUGGGGUAGUGGCUUACCAAGGCUUUGACGGGUAGCCGGCCUGAGAGGGUGACCGGCCACAUUGGGACUGAGAUACGGCCCAGACCCCUACGGGAGGCAGCAGUGGGGAAUAUUGCACAAUGGGCGGAAGCCUGAUGCAGCAACGCCGCGUGCGGGAUGACGGCCUUCGGGUUGUAAACCGCUUUCGCCUGUGACGAAGCGUGAGUGACGGUAAUGGGUAAAGAAGCACCGGCUAACUACGUGCCAGCAGCCGCGGUGAUACGUAGGGUGCGAGCGUUGUCCGGAUUUAUUGGGCGUAAAGGGCUCGUAGGUGGUUGAUCGCGUCGGAAGUGUAAUCUUGGGGCUUAACCCUGAGCGUGCUUUCGAUACGGGUUGACUUGAGGAAGGUAGGGGAGAAUGGAAUUCCUGGUGGAGCGGUGGAAUGCGCAGAUAUCAGGAGGAACACCAGUGGCGAAGGCGGUUCUCUGGGCCUUUCCUGACGCUGAGGAGCGAAAGCGUGGGGAGCGAACAGGCUUAGAUACCCUGGUAGUCCACGCUGUAAACGGUGGGUACUAGGUGUGGGGUCCAUUCCACGGGUUCCGUGCCGUAGCUAACGCUUUAAGUACCCCGCCUGGGGAGUACGGCCGCAAGGCUAAAACUCAAAGGAAUUGACGGGGCCCCGCACAAGCGGCGGAGCAUGCGGAUUAAUUCGAUGCAACGCGUAGAACCUUACCUGGGUUUGACAUGGAUCGGGAGUGCUCAGAGAUGGGUGUGCCUCUUUUGGGGUCGGUUCACAGGUGGUGCAUGCCUGUCGUCAGCUCGUGUCGUGAGAUGUUGGGUUAAGUCCCGCAACGAGCGCAACCCUUGUUCACUGUUGCCAGCACGUUAUGGUGGGGACUCAGUGGAGACCGCCGGGGUCAACUCGGAGGAAGGUGGGGAUGACGUCAAGUCCUCAUGCCCCUUAUGUCCAGGGCUUCACGCAUGCUACAAUGGCUGGUACAGAGAGUGGCGAGCCUGUGAGGGUGAGCGAAUCUCGGAAAGCCGGUCUCAGUUCGGAUUGGGGUCUGCAACUCGACCUCAUGAAGUCGGAGUCGCUAGUAAUCGCAGAUCAGCAACGCUGCGGUGAAUACGUUCCCGGG